AGCAGCCGCGGUAAUUCCAGCUCCAAUAGCGUAUAUUAAAGUUGUUGCAGUUAAAAAGCUCGUAGUUGAAUUUCGGGGUUAGCAGGUCGGUCGUGCCAUCGGUAUGAACUGGUCUCGCUGAUCCCUCCCUCUUGAAGAACUGUGAUGCCAUUAAUUUGGUGUCGCAGGGAAUCAGGACUGUUACUUUGAAAAAAUUAGAGUGUUUAAAGCAGGCUCACGCUUGAAUACAUUAGCAUGGAAUAAUGAAAUAGGACGUUUGAUCCUAUUUUGUUGGUUUCUAGGAUUGACGUAAUGAUUAAUAGGGAUAGUUGGGGGCAUUAGUAUUCAAUUGUCAGAGGUGAAAUUCUUGGAUUUAUUGAAGACUAACUACUGCGAAAGCAUUUUGCCAAGGAUGUUUUUAUUAAUCAAGAACGAAAGUUAGGGGAUCGAAGACGAUCAGAUACCGUCGUAGUCUUAACCAUAAACUAUGCCGACUAGGGAUCGGAUGAUGUUAAUUUUUUCAAUGACUCAUUCGGCGCCU
This 520-nucleotide unclassified non-coding RNA is filed under the name uncultured Glomus. RNAcentral's name for it is "SSU rRNA". It matches the Rfam family "Eukaryotic small subunit ribosomal RNA", at positions 569 to 1088 of the family's 1831-position model. Lineage: Eukaryota; Fungi; Glomeromycota; Glomeromycetes; Glomerales; Glomeraceae. The record is from RNAcentral.